Molecule: ribosomal RNA, 253 nt
Filed under: uncultured bacterium
Lineage: Bacteria
Description: partial 16S ribosomal RNA
Rfam family: Bacterial small subunit ribosomal RNA
Source: RNAcentral
UACGUAGGGAGCAAGCGUUGUCCGGAAUCAUUGGGCGUAAAGCGCGCGUAGGUGGCUUCGUAAGUCCGUUGUGAAAGUCAAAGGCUCAACCUUUGAAAGCCGAUGGAUACUGCGGAGCUAGAGUACGGAAGAGGCGAGUGGAAUUCCUGGUGUAGCGGUGGAAUGCGCAGAUAUCAGGAGGAACACCAAUAGCGAAGGCAGGUCUCUGGGCAUUAACUGACGCUGAGGAGCGAAAGCAUGGGGAGCGAACAGG